AGAGUUUGAUCCCGGCUCAGGACGAACGCUGGCGGCGUGCCUAACACAUGCAAGUCGAACGGACUGAUUUUCUUCGGAAAUGAAAGUUAGUGGCGGACGGGUGAGUAACGCGUGAGUAACCUGCCUUACAGAGGGGGAUAACGUUUGGAAACGAACGCUAAUACCGCAUAACAUAUUUGAGUCGCAUGGCUUAGAUAUCAAAGGAGCAAUCCGCUGUAAGAUGGACUCGCGUCCGAUUAGAUAGUUGGCGGGGUAACGGCCCACCAAGUCGACGAUCGGUAGCCGGACUGAGAGGUUGAUCGGCCACAUUGGGACUGAGACACGGCCCAGACUCCUACGGGAGGCAGCAGUGAGGAAUAUUGGUCAAUGGGCGCAGGCCUGAACCAGCCAAGUCGCGUGAGGGAUGACGGUCCUACGGAUUGUAAACCUCUUUUGUCGGGGAGUAACGUGCGGGACGUGUCCCGUAUUGAGAGUACCCGAAGAAAAAGCAUCGGCUAACUCCGUGCCAGCAGCCGCGGUAAUACGGAGGAUGCGAGCGUUAUCCGGAUUUAUUGGGUUUAAAGGGUGCGCAGGCGGCGCGCCAAGUCAGCGGUCAAAGUUCCGGGCUCAACCCGGUGUCGCCGUUGAAACUGGCGUGCUCGAGUGCGUGCGAGGAAGGCGGAAUGCGUUGUGUAGCGGUGAAUGCAUAGAUAUGACGCAGAACUCCGAUUGCGAAGGCAGCUUUCCAGCGCGCUACUGACGCUGAGGCACGAAAGCGUGGGGAUCGAACAGGAUUAGAUACCCUGGUAGUCCACGCAGUAAACGAUGACUACUAGCUUUCCGGGAUGAUUGAGUCCUGGGAGGCACAGCGAAAGCGUUAAGUAGUCCACCUGGGGAGUACGCCGGCAACGGUGAAACUCAAAGGAAUUGACGGGGGCCCGCACAAGCGGAGGAACAUGUGGUUUAAUUCGAUGAUACGCGAGGAACCUUACCCGGGCUCAAACGACAGUGGACAGCUCCUGAAAGGGAGUCUCCGGCAACGGCCGCUGUCGAGGUGCUGCAUGGUUGUCGUCAGCUCGUGCCGUGAGGUGUCGGCUUAAGUGCCAUAACGAGCGCAAUCCCCAUCUCCAGUUGCCACCGGGUCGUGCCGGGCACUCUGGAGGGACUGCCAGCGCAAGCUGCGAGGAAGGCGGGGAUGACGUCAAAUCAGCACGGCCCUUACGUCCGGGGCGACACACGUGUUACAAUGGCGGAGAACAGAGGGGAGCCACGUGGCGACACGGAGCCGAUCCCUAAAAUCCGUCUCAGUUCGGAUUGGAGUCUGCAACCCGACUCCAUGAAGCUGGAUUCGCUAGUAAUCGCGCAUCAGCCAUGGCGCGGUGAAUACGUUCCCGGGCCUUGCACUCACCGCCCGUCAAG
RNAcentral lists this ribosomal RNA (1398 nucleotides) under uncultured bacterium. RNAcentral's name for it is "bacterial SSU rRNA". It matches the Rfam family "Bacterial small subunit ribosomal RNA". The record is from RNAcentral.